RNAcentral lists this long non-coding RNA (1181 nucleotides) under Piliocolobus tephrosceles (Ugandan red Colobus). RNAcentral's name for it is "lncRNA (ENSPTEG00000012222.1)". Lineage: Eukaryota; Metazoa; Chordata; Mammalia; Primates; Cercopithecidae. The record is from RNAcentral.
GUGUACUAUGUGCGUAUAAAUUUAUAUGGUACAAUCAAAGCACUUUAUUUAUAUUACUUUAUUUACCAAUUUUACUCUUUUUUUUAUAUUUUAUUUUUUUAUUUUUUUAUCAUUUUUACCUUUUUCCUUUUUUUAAUUUAUUUUUAAAAAUGUUAAUACGUUCAUAUAAUUUUUUUUAUAUAUUUUUGUUUCUGUUUUUGUUUUAUUUUUUCAAUAUAUUAUCGUUGCUGCCGAUCCUGGGAAACAAUUCCUUAGGUUUAGUUUCAGGUAAUCAUGGUCAUAUACAUUGCAGAAAAAAAACGAACAACAAAACAACUGAUCAUAAAUAUGAUGUAGACAAACAAUACAAUAGUGGAAAUGAAAAUAAAGUUGUUUUUGUGAAAGAAAUAAAUAAAAAAAAAAUAAAUAAAAUUAAAAAUAAUUUUUUAUUACAUAAUUUGAUGUAUGUAUUAAUGCAAAAUAAAAAGAAUGGCACUAUUAACAAAAUUGACAAUUAUAAUUAUGAUGUAAAAAAAAUGAAUAAAUAUAUGUUCUCUUCUUUGAAGACUAUAGAACAAAAAAAUGUGCAAAAUAUAAAAAUCAAAAGUAGUAAUAAUAAUAAAAUAUAUAAAAUUCAAAACACACCUUAUAAAAUCCGACAGGUGUCAUCUUUUUUAGAAAUGCACCAAGCAAAUAAAAAUAAUUAUAUCAAUGAUGGCAUAGAUGGUAAUAUUAAUGAUAAUAUUAUUUCAAGUAAAAUACGUAAGCGUACUACACCCUAUGGUGCAACAAGUAUGAUUCUAAAUAGUGUGGAGGACCCUGGAAUAAAAUUCGCUGAAACUAGGGAAACUGCAUCUGUACAACAAACUACAGAUGGAUGGAAUGUAUAUCCUCCUUUAAUGCUCACAUGUAAGGAACUUGGGUGCCCUAACGAUUAUGAAGUAUGUUCCUAUACUCAUAUAAAACCAAAUGUAAUUACUAAAUUAAAAGAAAAAUAUAAUGAAAGUAUAUACCCUAAAAUGUUUGAAGCAAAAGAAUUGCCAUUCCAGAUUAAAUGUGUUUGUAAAAAAUAUCUUGCAGAUGGUACUUGCAACACUUCAGCCGAAGCUGUGGUAGCAUAAGCUAUUAUAUACUUUUUUUAUUUGUAUUUUUCUAUGAUUAAGUGAAAUAAAUAAUAUACUCUAUAUUUUUUUUUAUUUGUA